Molecule: ribosomal RNA, 428 nt
Filed under: uncultured bacterium
Lineage: Bacteria
Description: bacterial SSU rRNA
Rfam family: Bacterial small subunit ribosomal RNA
Source: RNAcentral
UAGGGAAUAUUGCACAAUGGGCGCAAGCCUGAUGCAGCGACGCCGCGUGAGUGAUGAAGGCCUUCGGGUCGUAAAGCUCUGUUGUACGGGAAGAAAAAACCAUGGCUAAUAUCCAUGGUCUUGACGGUACCGUAUCAGAAAGGACCGGCUAACUUCGUGCCAGCAGCCGCGGUAAGACGAGGGGUCCUAGCGUUGUUCGGAAUCACUGGGCGUAAAGCGUAUGUAGGCGGCUUUCUAAGUCGGUUGUGAAAUCCCAUGGCUUAACCAUGGAAUUGCAUUCGAAACUGGAAAGCUUGAGUGUGGGAGAGAUUGGUAGAAUACCUGGUGUAGUGGUGAAAUACGUAGAUAUCAGGUGGAAUACCGGUGGCGAAGGCGGCCAAUUGGCCCAACACUGACGCUGAGAUACGAAAGCGUGGGGAUCAAACAGG